GGAUUAGAUACCCUGGUAGUCCACGCUGUAAACGAUGAUCACUAGAUGUUCGGACGUAUGUCUGAGUGUCCCAGCGAAAGCGAUAAGUGAUCCACCUGGGGAGUACGUCGGCAACGAUGAAACUCAAAGGAAUUGACGGGGGCCCGCACAAGCGGUGGAGCAUGUGGUUUAAUUCGAUGAUACGCGAGGAACCUUACCUAGGCUACAAUGCCUUUGACAGCCUGUGAAAGCAGGUUUCCCUUCGGGGCAAAGUGCAAGGUGCUGCAUGGUUGUCGUCAGCUCGUGUUG
This 288-nucleotide ribosomal RNA is filed under the name uncultured bacterium. RNAcentral describes it as "partial 16S ribosomal RNA". It matches the Rfam family "Bacterial small subunit ribosomal RNA", at positions 775 to 1067 of the family's 1533-position model. The record is from RNAcentral.